This 253-nucleotide ribosomal RNA is filed under the name uncultured bacterium. RNAcentral's name for it is "partial 16S ribosomal RNA". It matches the Rfam family "Bacterial small subunit ribosomal RNA", at positions 524 to 776 of the family's 1533-position model. The record is from RNAcentral.
UACGGAGGGUGCGAGCGUUGUCCGGAUUUAUUGGGUUUAAAGGGUGCGUAGGCGGCUGAAUAAGUCUGGGGUGAAAGCCCGUUGCUCAACAACGGAACUGCCCUGGAUACUGUUUGGCUUGAGCACAGACGAGGUUGGCGGAAUGGGCGGUGUAGCGGUGAAAUGCAUAGAUACCGUCCAGAACCCCGAUUGCGAAGGCAGCUGACUAGGCUGUAGCUGACGCUGAGGCACGAAAGCGUGGGGAGCGAACAGG